CGGAAGAAACUACAAGGAUUCCCCUAGUAACUGCGAGUGAAGCGGGAAAAGCUCAAAUUUAAAAUCUGGCAGUCUUUGGCUGUCCGAGUUGUAGUCUGGAGAAGUGCUUUCCGUGCUGGACCGUGUACAAGUCUCCUGGAAUGGAGUGUCAUAGAGGGUGAGAAUCCCGUCUUUGACACGGACUACCAGUGCUCUGUGAUGUGCUCUCAAAGAGUCGAGUUGUUUGGGAAUGCAGCUCAAAAUGGGUGGUGAAUUCCAUCUAAAGCUAAAUAUUGGCGAGAGACCGAUAGCGAACAAGUACCGUGAGGGAAAGAUGAAAAGCACUUUGGAAAGAGAGUUAAACAGUACGUGAAAUUGUUGAAAGGGAAACGCUUGAAGUCAGUCGCGUUUGCCAGAACUCAGCCUAGCUUCGGCUUGGUGUACUUUCUGGUGAACGGGCCAGCAUCAAUUUUGAUCGUCGGAUAAUGGCAAGGGGAAUGUGGCACCUUCGGGUGUGUUAUAGCCCCUUGUCGCAUACGGCGGUUGGGAUUGAGGAAUUCGGCAUCCCCUCGUGGUUGAUGCUUAGGAUGCUGGCGUAAUGGCUUUAAACGACCCGUCUGGAAACACGGA
Molecule: ribosomal RNA, 609 nt
Filed under: Laxitextum sp.
Lineage: Eukaryota; Fungi; Basidiomycota; Agaricomycetes; Russulales; Gloeocystidiellaceae
Description: partial large subunit ribosomal RNA
Rfam family: Eukaryotic large subunit ribosomal RNA
Source: RNAcentral